Molecule: ribosomal RNA, 433 nt
Filed under: uncultured bacterium
Lineage: Bacteria
Description: partial 16S ribosomal RNA
Rfam family: Bacterial small subunit ribosomal RNA
Source: RNAcentral
AACGAACGCUGGCGGCAUGCCUAACACAUGCAAGUCGAACGAGACCUUCGGGUCUAGUGGCGCACGGGUGCGUAACGCGUGGGAACCUGCCUUUAGGUUCGGAAUAACUCAGAGAAAUUUGAGCUAAUACCGGAUGAUGUCUUCGGACCAAAGAUUUAUCGCCUUUAGAUGGGCCCGCGUUGGAUUAGCUAGUUGGUGGGGUAAAGGCCUACCAAGGCGACGAUCCAUAGCUGGUCUGAGAGGAUGAUCAGCCACACUGGGACUGGGACACGGCCCAGACUCCUACGGGAGGCAGCAGUGGGUAAUAUUGGACAAUGGGCGAAAGCCUGAUCCAGCAAUGCCGCGUGAGUUAUGAAGGCCUUAGGGUUGUAAAGCUCUUUUACCCGAGAUGAUAAUGACAGUAUCGGGAGAAUAAGCUCCGGCUAACUCCGUG